GAUGAACGCUGGCGGCGUGCUUAACACAUGCAAGUCGAACGGAAAGGCUCCUGCUUGCAGGGGUACUCGAGUGGCGAACGGGUGAGUAACACGUGGGUGAUCUGCCCUGCACUUCGGGAUAAGCCUGGGAAACUGGGCCUAAUACCGGAUAGGACGAUGGUUUGGAUGCCAUUGUGGAAAGUUUUUUCGGUGUGGGAUGAGCUCGCGGCCUAUCAGCUUGUUGGUGGGGUAAUGGCCUACCAAGGCGUCGACGGGUAGCCGGCCUGAGAGGGUGUACGGCCACAUUGGGACUGAGAUACGGCCCAGACUCCUACGGGAGGCAGCAGUGGGGAAUAUUGCACAAUGGGCGCAAGCCUGAUGCAGCGACGCCGCGUGGGGGAUGACGGCUUUCGGGUUGUAAACUCCUUUCGCUAGGGACGAAGCGCAAGUGACGGUACCUGGAGAAGAAGCACCGGCUAACUACGUG
This 466-nucleotide ribosomal RNA is filed under the name uncultured bacterium. Its description in RNAcentral is "partial 16S ribosomal RNA". It matches the Rfam family "Bacterial small subunit ribosomal RNA", at positions 28 to 507 of the family's 1533-position model. The record is from RNAcentral.